This is a long non-coding RNA of Pseudophryne corroboree (corroboree frog), 1032 nucleotides long. RefSeq lists it as uncharacterized. The record is from RefSeq and is a predicted model, not a curated record. The transcript is spliced from 3 exons. Lineage: Eukaryota; Metazoa; Chordata; Amphibia; Anura; Myobatrachidae.
GUCUUCCAGUCCCAGUGAAUGUGCGAGAGACAGUAAAACAACUGACAUACUGUAUGUUCUCCUUGACACCAAACUGUGCAAAAAAACUAUUUAGGCUUACGCCACGGGGAAAGUGGCUUCAUCUUCAGCCAAGGAGGUUAAGGGUUUCAUAAUUGGAUCCAAAGAUAGACGAAGAAACAAAAUGGUGCUAGAUUCAUGCUGAUGAUCAACACAAAAGUGAAAUCAGAUCUACUGCUGUCAAUCUAGGUUUCUAUAGCAACGUAAAGAGGAUAUGACGUUACGAUAUGAAGUGUUCGGGACGGAGACUCCGGGGAUGACGCGCACCCGACGGCGGCGUCACCUACUUCAGGGUAACCAAGAUGCGUCUCCAGGGGCGAGGCACCGUAGGACGGAGGCUAGUGAUGGCGCACGCUGGGUAGUGACGUCGCGGACCCGGAAGUAGGAAGUCGUGUGUCGGGAUAGGAUGCAUUCCUGUGGAGGAUCUGCGAAAUUUGAGUGUCAUCUUUUUGGACCAUACAAACAGGAGAUAAAGGGAUAUCUUUUGGAGUAGGAGAUUGGGGAUUAUGAUGGACAAGGUCUCUAGCCAUAUAAAUAGUAGAUGAACAGGCGGAUCAGUUUUGGAUUGGUUGAUUGAUAAUAUUGAUGGUUGAGGGGUGUGAUUGGUCAGUAGGGGUUUAUUAAGGACUCCCGAUACAAGAUGGAAUUCAUAUUGCCUUGAGAAAGACCCAGAGCAGGUGGGUCAAAACGCGUCGGCUAUUUGGACCCCUGAUUCCGGUGGAUGACAAGUGGAUUGCUGUCCGGAAACCAGAACAUUCUUUCCAGACUACUUACCCGGGUGAUGCAUUUGGUGAAUGAUCUACAUGCUUAUUUGAGAACUAUUUGCACUAGUUCUCAGAGAUUCUGGUAAUUGAACAGCUUUUACAAACUCUACCUAAGGAGUAAAGGGGAUCUAUUUUAACAUUGUGUUUUUAUGUGUAUGUCAUUAAAAGUGUUUAUUUGACUUUACUACACAUGGUGUAUCUUUGUUCUCUC